Molecule: long non-coding RNA, 1019 nt
Organism: Cucumis sativus (cucumber)
Lineage: Eukaryota; Viridiplantae; Streptophyta; Magnoliopsida; Cucurbitales; Cucurbitaceae
Exons: 2
Source: RefSeq, a predicted model, not a curated record
GCAAAUGGCAGUCAGUUUCCUUUGGACACUGAGAAAAGGCAAAUGCAAAUGGCAACUGCACGGUACACCUUACAGGACAGUUUUUGAUGCUUUUGCAGAGAAAAGGCAAAUGCAAAUGAAGAGUACACACUGUCCUGGAUGAUACUUUGCAGGUAAUUUGUAUUAGUUGUUAUGUCUGGAAGCGAUUUUAUAUUAUCAUAGUUUGUUGUUAGUUGUUAUAAGUAAUUCUGAAGUCUGACAAUGAUUAUUUAGAGUGAAAUCUGGGCAGGUUUGUUGGAGACAAACCGUCUGACAUACAUGAUUUAUGUUCUUUGUAGUUCUGUGCUCAUUGCCUAUGUGAGUAUAGUCUACUUUCUUGUCCUCACAAUCUUUUCCCAACCUUUUCAUGUCUUUCAUAUUUUGAACUGCAUUCAUGGUUUUCGUAUAACUAUAAUAGACGCUCUUAUUCUUUUACUGUGAAACCACUUUUAGUUAUCUAUUUGCAAUAUGCUGUAUGUUCUAUUAGACAGCUACUUGUAGGAGUAUAGAUGAUGAAAUAAACAGAUUUAUUUUGUUAGACGAAAUCUAGUUGAGGAAUUUGACGUUUUUCUUCCUUUAUGUAAAAUCCUAAUAUUAGAAAACUAAGCAAAAGCAGAAAUAGUUUGCAGAGCUGUAGCUUAGGAAUUAUUUUCCUCAAUUUGACUUGAUGUUUGACGCAGGUAUAUGGAUGGGUGAUGGAUAUAUUGCUUUUGAGUGAUUUUUCACUUUUGUAUUCAUUUCUCUUUACCAUUACGGGAUCUGUCUUAUAACCUUUCUCAUGAUUUUCUACGUGAAUUGCAAUUGUUGUAUAAUAUUUUAUCAUAUUAGAAAGAUAUGAGGUGAUUAAAGAAAAAUUGAUUGUCCGGAAAUCAAUUUUUCUUAUUACACCUCAUGUCAAUGCCCAAAUUCCAUAACCAUUUGGUUAUUGUUAUCUUAAAAUUUUGAAAAUUGAGUCUAUAAACACUCAUUCUACUAGAAUUAUAUCAUAUUCUUUAGUUUGA